RNAcentral lists this non-coding RNA (92 nucleotides) under chicken gut metagenome. RNAcentral describes it as "SAM riboswitch (S box leader)". It matches the Rfam family "SAM riboswitch aptamer (S box leader)". From Rfam's summary of the family: The SAM riboswitch is found upstream of a number of genes which code for proteins involved in methionine or cysteine biosynthesis in Gram-positive bacteria. The record is from RNAcentral.
CUUAUCAAGAGCGAUGGAGGGAACAGGCCCUGUGAAGUCCGGCAACCUGCAUAUGUAAGGUGCCAAAUCCUGCGGUAUAUCCGAAAGAUGAG